UUUGUCUGUAUGCGUCUUUGUUUAAUUUGUAACAAAGUUUUACACACAGGUGCAAACAGUAAACUCUUUUGCAACCCAGAACUUAUUGUUGAGUACAAGUUUUUGGUACAUGUAAGAAGGACUAUG
This is a small nucleolar RNA of Perognathus longimembris pacificus (Pacific pocket mouse), 126 nucleotides long. RefSeq annotates it as small nucleolar RNA SNORA40. The transcript has a single exon. The record is from RefSeq and is a predicted model, not a curated record. NCBI's taxonomy places the organism in Eukaryota, Metazoa, Chordata, Mammalia, Rodentia, Heteromyidae.